GAGGGGCUGUGCGCAUGCGCGGGUGCAUCCCACCGGGGCUGCGGGGCCCCGUCUGGAAAACCCUGGUCAUGCUGAAAGUGACUGUUCCUGUUGAAGCCUUGAGCAGUGAUCUAGCAGGUGUGUAAAGCUGGUCGUGCUUCUGUGCCCCUUGGUUCAUUUCAUACGCAGGAAGAGGAGCCUUACUGAGAUUGCUGUUACCAUACCUGCCUGUCACCUUGCUAAGAGCUGAGGCUUUAAAGACCUCAGGGACUGCUUUCAGUACUCACAGAAACCACUUACACCCUGGUGAUGGCACAGAGGGACUGUUUUCUUACUCUUCAUCUGAAAGACUGUCAAGAAGGAAGGCAAAGAUAGAGCAAUUGGAUCUCUGACUCUCCUUGUAGCCUCUGAUCUCAGACCUUAUUAAACCCGUUUCUGAGCCCAAGGACAAAGAUCAAUUGAACAAAUGAUUUUGAGUCAUGAAUGAAAAAUCUUGCUCUUUCCAUAAUGAGAAGGAAUUAAGAGAUGGACAGGGUGAAAGAGUGUCUGCUGGGUUCUCUCCAUCACAUGACAAGGACAACAGUGCUCUUGUGGCUUUCAGAGGAAUUCCUAUCUCAGAGCUGAAGAACCGUGGCAUUCUCCGGGCCCUGACAACAGAAGCUAAUGAAUGGGAGACAGCUGGUAAGGUCCCC
Molecule: long non-coding RNA, 671 nt
Organism: Galeopterus variegatus (Sunda flying lemur)
Lineage: Eukaryota; Metazoa; Chordata; Mammalia; Dermoptera; Cynocephalidae
Exons: 5
Source: RefSeq, a predicted model, not a curated record